This 65-nucleotide transfer RNA is filed under the name Bryobacterales bacterium. RNAcentral describes it as "tRNA-Ser". The record is from RNAcentral. Lineage: Bacteria; Pseudomonadati; Acidobacteriota; Terriglobia; Bryobacterales.
GGCGUGGGUGCUCGAAAGGUCUGCAAAACCUUUACUCAGCGGUUCGAAUCCGCUCGGCGCCUCCA